AAUUUUGCCAUUUCAUGACAAAAAGUCAUAAUUUUAUGAAAGACACAGAGGCAGGUAUUGUCCCUUUUCACUUUUUGGCUUUGAUUCUGCCUUCCUUCUUUCUCGUUUUAUUAUGCUUCACUGCGGUCAUAUUUUCUUCCGUGCUAUUCUCUGUUAUUUCUGAUAUUUCUUCGGUCAGGUUUGUGUUGUAUGAUUUUUGACAUUUACAUUAUUUGUUUUGUUUAUGGGUCUUAUGUAAGCAUUUGCAUGCUUCAUUCUAUGGUCUUGUGGUUUAUAAUCCCUGUCUGAACUGAUGUGAUGCCAUUGGUUGUUCCGUGAUGUCUAACCCUGGGUUACACCUCGUCCUUUGUAAUUUUUAGCUGAUGUUCCAUGAGUUUCAGCUGUUUGAGCUGUUGUUGGAUCCUGCUCUUCCUGUCACGUUCUUGGUUACAACCUCAAUGUUGAAGGUGUCUGUUUGCUGCAGUUCUGGUUCCUGGUCAUGACUUGUCAAUUUUUGCUCUAUUGCUGUUGUAUUGUUGGCUCAUCAAAGAUAGAGGAAGUUAGGGGUGUGAUCCUGAAUUAUAUAGGGAUGGAGUUUGGGAGAUUACAUUUUAAGCAUUCUUUUUUCUAUUGUUUUUUUUUCUUUGCUGAUGUUUUAAGUAAAGAAAGAGAAAUGCAUAAUAUGAGCCUCCAUGCCUUUCACAACACAGCGGCAUAGGGAGCCACGACAAUGCAAGCCUCUAAAGAUGAAUACAGAGACUACCUCUCUGUAUCCAAAACUGUAAGCCUGCCAUUUAAUAUAUCUACAGGUUCUUAUAAACAUGCUAAUGGGCCUUAUGUUUGAGUUUCGCCUAAGACCUUGCAAAGUCUAGAGCCGCUCCUUCAUGAGUCCAAAGCUGUGAGAAUUUAAUUUACAUCAGAGUAGAUUUUUAAUAUAUAUUUUGUUUGAAUAAUUUUAGUGUAUUUUUCUCAACCUGGGUUGUUUGGCUGUGAUAUACUAAAGAGGUUUACAUUAAGAAAAAAACUCAAUUAGCAAAGUUCAAAUGUAUAUUGACAAGAUUUAUGGAACCUGCUUCUAUAGACUUAAAAUAUCUGCUUCUUAUGAUCAACUGCUUAUAUUUUGCAAUGGAAUUUCUAAAAAAUUCCAACACAUUCCAGUGUUUGACAGAGUUAUUCCUUAUGGGUAAUGCAACUACAUGUAACCCUGUAAUAUCUCUCUUUUCCCUGAUAAACUAAUGUACAGUUAGUGAAAUGCUUGUAGAAAAAUAAAUGAGGACAGACAGAAUGUGUGUUAAAAAUGACCCUAUGAGAAGCAUGACAAAUUAAUCAGAAUUAAGUUGUUAUGAUGCCACGAGGUUCCUUGCACUUACUUACAUUUACUCUGAUCAGCUUACCUUUACUCUGAUCAGACCUGGACUUAAGAUUGAGGUUAACAAAGUCUUCAGUCUGGUGCUGGUCAGCUAUUCCCCAAACUUAUAUUUGAACCCAAAGCUUAAAUCUGGAACCCUAGACAGGGGUGCUGCUACUAAGCUAAGUCACCAAAUGUUCUCUCAUAUUAUAAUUAGAGCCCCUACCUUCUUACCUAUGAGUUGGAGUUGAGGGGACGCUAGCUCUCCUCCCCCUGUAUAAAGUUAGUAGCCCAGACCCCCUGGGGAGAACUGGGGGCUAUUAGUAUGCCUUCCUAUUUAAUAUAAUAGCCCUCACCUACUGAUGUCCAUGUGUGGGGGUGUGGAGGAGGGUAUAUACUCCCCAUUAUUUUACAGGUCUUAUCUGCAUGGGAUGUGGCCUUUCUUGUGACUGAGCAGUAAUAUCUUCUCAGUUGCUAGUUUUUUUUAAUGUUUAGUAGAUAUACCACCAUCUAUUGGCAGGAAGGGAUACAGGGAUGCUAAAAACCUCCCUUAUAGUAAUAUAUCGUAAAAUAAGCUUGUUUUUUAUUUUAUUUUAUACUUUUAUGUGGCGGCUAGCGAGCAAGUGCUGGUCAGCUGCCACAUGGUUAACUCUUGCAGUGCCAAGGAUUUUUAACUAUUUAUCCACUAGAUGCUAGCACUUAAUAUCAUUGUUCGCUUGCAAAAAGUGAAAAAUUAUUUGCGUACGUGUAUCCUAAUUGAUCAAUUUAGUCACAAAAUGCAACUAGCUGAUUGCUACAGAACUCCUACCGGAUUUGGCUUUAGUAAAUAUGAGAAUUGCCAUUCCAGUAGGAUUUGGGCCACAUUUAGCAGAUGGACAAAAUCCAGUGUUUAGUUAAUUACUCUGUAAGGGUUAUUUAGUAAAACGAGGAUUGCUGAUAAUUCAAAGUGAAUUUAAAUUGAAUUUUGAAUUAUUUUUAAAAAAAGUCAAUAUGAAAUAGCCAAGCUGGGACAUUCUCAAAUACAGCUACUCUUCCAGCUAUUUCAGCCUUAAAGAGGGGCUCUAAGCACCAAAACAACUUUAGCUGAAAGGGACCCUCCACUACCCCAAAUGCAAAAGAAAUAAAAAUCAAAGAUUAGCAGAUAUUUCUCAUUGGGAGUAUAAAAAUAUAUUUUAAAAGCCACACAUCUCUUGUCUGAAGCCUUUGCAAACCAUCCUCUUCAUAUCCAGCCCAAUCACAAACUUCUCAAUGAUAAUCUAGAGUUUAUAAUCAUUGCGCUAAAUAACCAGGAAGUAACAUAGCUGGUUGUCUGACUGACAACCAGUGGGGUGUAACAAUGUUUAUUUCUGAAAGUAUUGAUUUCUAUUGAAAUCUACACUUUUUGUAAAAAAAAAAAAAAGAUGACACACUCUUUACACACAAAGCACUUCAGAAAGUAUCCUUUAAUUAAGUGGUUUUAGUAUAUAGGUCAUGCCCCUGCAGCCUCACUGCUUAAUUCUCUGUCAUUUAAUAGUUAAAUCACCGUUGAUUUUGUUUAUGCAGCACUGUCCACACUUCUCCUGGCUUGACUUACACAGCUUACAAAAAAAAAAUGGUUUAAAGUUCAAUCAGAUGUGACAACACAGUGUGUUUACUUAGAAAGUUCUUUUUAUCUCCUGCUCUGUUAAUUGGACUUUAAUAACACACAGGAGGCUUUUACAGGCAUUCUAUUAAUAGAGCAGGCGAUAAACAAAUUUUAAAUUAAACAGACUUUGCAGUAAAGGAAGUUUACCAUUAUCUCUUAAGAAACGUGUAGGGAGACUGUAUAUGUCAUAUGCAGGGAGGUGUGACUAGGGCUAUAUAUACAUAUACAAAGUCAUUUAUAUCCUAAAUGGACAGAAAUUGAUCAACUAGACUGCAAGAAACCUUGAUCUAUGCACCAAAACCACUCCAUUUACCUACCGUUGCUAUAGUGCUUAUAAUGUCCCUUUAAAUUGAAAUACAUUUUGAAUUCCCAACGAUUUCCACUUCACAGAGUGCUUGGUCUAAUCUUACAUCAGAUAUGAUUCUUACUUUGGUCAUGGGAAAAUUUAAGUGAAGUAGCCUUACAUUAUAAAUGGCUGUUCUCUUACUAGUGGUGAUCCUGAGCUUUGUAUAUAUGUACAUUUUAAUUAUAACUACAAAACUAUCUUAAAUAUUUGGAUUAUUACAUCACUGCAGUGUUGUAAUGUUCAAUGUUUCUGUUGGCUAUGAUUUAUUUCACUGUUACAUCUGUCAGCUGGAGAGUGUGACUCAGAUCACUACAUUAUAAUAUUAAACGAGAUAAGUAUUUUAAAGUGUUUUAAAUCUCCAUAUAUAGAACCAGUGGUGCACGCAUUGAUUCCAAGUCCAAGUGUUUUAGGACACAAAUGACCCUGUAAAAAUGUUUUGAUUAUGUUCAAAGCCAACGCCUUCCUGUGAAGUUUUAUCAUGAACUUUGUCGUGGGAAAACAUUUAAACAUUUGUAAACUUGUCACAUUCAGUUCAGUGUAAUAGUGGACAUGAACCCUCCAUGAGCAUUCUAUUAAAGAAUCAGACAAGUAAAAAUGGAAAGUGUUGCAUAAUAUUAAAAACCCUGCAAGAAACAAAUAAAAAAAAAAAACACACAUGCUCAUUAGGAUAUCACAAAAAUCAUAGCUGAUGUAUCUCCUCCUUGGCAUUGUGUUAACAUACAUCUGAAUGCUCUAGCCAAGCAAACUGCCAAAACUUCAGCUUUUACAGAGGUGGUCACACUUGCUGAUGACCAAUAAAUCAAGGUCAUUUGAUUAGCAGCACCACUCUGUUUAAAAGUGUGUAGUUUUUCACACAUGACAUUUUUGGCUUUAUUUUUGUUAAACAAAUCAUGACAGUGCAAUAUGUCAUGUGUUGUUGUUCAUCUGAGGUUGUGUUUACCUACUUUUAAUACCUGCUAAGAAACAGAUGAUUAUUAUGUCCUGAUAUGUAGAUCCAUAGAAUUCAAACAGGGUGCAUUAUUAGAAAUAUAUUUAACUGCAUUCAUUUAUACAAAAUUGUUGAAUUUGUGUUUUAAGGGGCACUAGAAGCACCAUUAGAAUGAUGACAAGGUGCCUGUGAAUCAGGGAUUUUGCCCAAACCUUGAUGCUAUUCUUUAGCCAAUUGCCAGGCAAGCUCAGAUAAUGAAUGUCAUUCAAAACCAUAUGGCACAUAUGAACAGAGAUGUACUGGCACCAUAAUCUCAGCCAUGGACUGUAAUGGUUAUGGUGCUUAGAUUUCCCCUUUACAUUUCCAAAUGUAUGCAGGUACCUCUGGCACCCAGACAUUGUUGAUUUUAGUGUAGUGUGUUACAGUUGGACCGGCACUGUAUUAAGUAUGUUUUGUUAAACUAAGUUUUUAAUGUACAUCAUAUGUGUAGUUGCUGUAAAGAAGAAUGAAAGAGCUGACUGGAGUGUUCUCCUGCUCUCGCCUAUCAGUCAAUUUUUAGACAUGUGUGCCCAGGAACAUUGAUAGGUGAGAUAUGUAAUAUAUUUGCUAGAAACUCGGCAAGCAUAAUUUGUAUAUGACAUUUUAUAAUAUUUAAUUUGAAAGGUACAUUAUUCUGAACAAUACUGCUCUGUUGCCCUUGGUCAAUUAGGUCCAGCCCCAACUGUUCAAAAACAAAACCUGGAAUACAUUGCCUCCAGGAUGACAGUGUCAGGAUUACAAGUUGAUCCAGCACGUAGAACUGUAUCACACCUAGGACUAACAGGUAAUGUCUUACUGGGCCUUAGAAUGGCCAAACUUAACGUACCAGAGAAUAUUCAGGAUACUUGCCGAGGUCGGGGACACAGAAUGAAACACAACGAUGAGGGAAAGCCAAAAGUCAGGGAUACCAGAAUACAGGGAAGUCAAACAAAGCCAAAGUCAAUAACCAGAAAUAAACGGUCAGGAACACACUCUUGGACAACCAAUAGGGAAACAACGACAGGGCAAAGAGGGAAAGGAAGAAUGCAUUUUAAUAAGCCUUAAACACUUCCGAUUGGCCAAAAUUGGCCUUUGAACCCAGAACGUAAGCGCGUCUCCUGCAUGACGUCACAUGCACGCCGACGUCAUAAUCACCGUGGACGGACGUGGGCCACAGCGGCUGGCGUCUACCAACGUGCCGCAGAUACCGCAAGGUGGGGAUGAAUAUGUUACAGACAGGCCAAUCCAUUGCUCCUUAUAGGGAAGCAUUGGUGAACGUAAGUGCAUGUGCGCCGCUCACCGCAAGUGGCGUACAAUUCCACAGUCAAUGAUUCUCUAUGGCAACUGUAACAGUGCACAAGUGAUGUCAGGGAAGGGUAUGAGAGUCAGGAAGUAAGAUAGCUAGCAUUCUACCUCAAAGAUAUGAAUAAUGCCUGGAAUUUGCCUUGUCACAUGCAUCCCUUGAUUGACAGGUCAUUAAUUUCAUUGUAACUCUGCAGAAAAAAAUGUCUUACCAUCAUUUCGUAGCUACAAAUGAGGAAUUAUCAGCUUUCAUUGUUUAAUUAAAACAAGACGUAUACGCAUUGGGCUAUCUUGUCUCUUAAUAAAUACCUACAUAUGUGGUGAGCUGGGUUCACCGUAUUGUCUGAGUCAUAGGCGUGCACAGCCUAUUGUAUAAGGGUGUGCACCCAAAAGCAGAAACACACACACCGCGUAAAUAUAUAUAUAUAUAUGCAUACACAUACAUACACACACACCUGUGUGUGUGGAGGCGCUGUGUGUGUGUGUGGAGGCGCUGUGUGUGAAGGCGCUGUGUGUGUGUGAAGAUGCUGUGUGUAAGGGUGCUGUUAGUGUGUGCUGUGUGUGUGUGUGUAUGUGUAAGGGUGCUGUUAGUGUGUGUGUGUGUGUGUGUGUGUGAGGGUGCUGUGUGUGUAAGGGUGUGUGUGUGUAUGUGUGUGUGCUGUGUGUAUGUUGGUGUGUGUGUGUGUGCUGUGUGUGUGUGUGCUGUUGGGUGUGCUGUGUGUGUUGCUGUGUGGGGGUGUUGUGUGUGUGUGUGCUGUUGUGUGUGCUGUGUGUGUGAGGGUGCUGUGUGUAAGGGUGCUGUUAAUGUGUGCUGUGUGUGUGUAAGGGUGCUGUGUGUGAGGGUGCUGUUAGCAUGUGUAUGUGUAAGGGUGCUGUUAGUGUGGGAUGUGUGUGUAUGUGUGAGGGUGCUGUGUGUGUAAGGGUGUUGUUAGUGUGAGGGUGCUGUUAGUGUGUGUGUGUGUGUGUGUUAGGUGUGCUGUGUGUGUGUGUAAGGGUGCUGUGUGUAAGGGUGCUGUUAGUGUGUAUGUGUAAGGGUGCUGUGUGUGUAAGGGUGCUGUUAGUGUGUGCUGUGUGUGUGUAUGUGUGAGGGUGCUGUGUGUGUAAGGGUGUUGUUAGUGUGAGGGUGCUGUGUAUGCUGUAUGUGUAAGGGUAAUGUAUGUGUGUGUGUGCUGUUUGUGUGUAAUGUGUGGGCUGUGGGGGCCGUUUAGUUAAUAUCCCCCCUCCCUUCUUACCUUAUGUAGGGAGGGGGGACUGUGCUGCUGCCUUCCCUGGUGGUCCAGUAGAGAGUAAACUCUAGCCCCCUGUGGGGCUAGAGUUCACUCUCGCGAGAUCUGAGCGUUGCCACGGUAACCGCGCAAGAGGAACCCGGCGGAGCUGCUGGCAAGAGCUUCCUGGGUCCUCUCCUGCUUCCCUCACAUCCUGUGGGUCGGUGAGGGAGAUCCACGGAGGGAGGCACAUAGCACGUGCCGCAGGGAUUAGGGUGUGCCUAGGCACACCCAGUACACCCCGUGCGCACGCCUAUGGUCUGAGUGAAAAUUCUAAUGGCAAUCUAAACAGGAUACACUGAAGAAAUAUGUUGACAAUGUACAUUGUUUUUCAAUGUAUGAUUUGCUUAUGCUUUCCUUUUGUGUUGCAGAGAUGAGCAGUGAUAGCUAAAUAGGUCAUUUGUUUUACUUCUAUAUCCAUUUUGUCCUGUACUAAGUGCAGGCUGGUUCAUAGGGGCAGGUGGGGCAAUGCAUCCCAAUCUUUGUUGCAACAAAAGAAAAAAAAAUAACGGCAUGGUAAGGACUAAUGACACAUGUAUACUAGAAAAACAAAAUGUGCCUGUCUCCUCCCCAUUUCUUGAUGGCUGAAGAUGUUGCCGAAAAACUGGUCAAAUAAACAUAUCACAAUUUGGGGGGUAUUUCAGAAAGAAUUUCCCCAUUUUCUGGGUACAGACCCCUCAGAUAUGCAUAGUCUAAUGGGAUUUCUGAUGUUACUCACUGAUUUUGCAAGUGGUUGUUUCUUAAAUACAUUCAUCUAUGCAAUGUAUAGAGCAUGACCUCUCAUUUUGUUUGGGGUUGAAAUCAUGGGCUUACAUCGGUCCAACAAGUCAAAUGGAGACAGAUUUUGAGGGUGGAAUUUAGUGACUAACCAACUUUAAACUUCACCAGCCACCACUGAUUGUUCUCCGCAUGAUCUUAUGUCAAUCAUUUAUCUUGCUGAUAAUCAUGGGAAAUUUAGUGCACAGCGGACCUUGUAAUAUAACCCCUGCAAAUAGUUUGAUGUUGUCUAUCGUAUAAUUUUGUUGAAAACAGAGCUACUGAAAGAUACAGUGACUAUUCUCCAGGGAUAUUAAUGGAAUGUGCUCAUUAGUUAUUUGGAUAUUAAUGUAUAUGAAGUACUGAGGCUGAUGCAUUACCUGGGUGGUCUAUAAAUGGUCAGCAAUAAAACUGUAAAAAUGUAAAUAUUUACACUAAUAUCUGAAUAGAUUUCAAGGGCAUGAUAGAGUAUGCAAGAGAAGGAUUGUGUGCAUACAAGAUAAAAAGGAUGUUGAAAAUGUCAGAGUGUAAGGAAAAAAUAAAGGCAUGUAACAAUGUUCACCAAUUGUCCUUCCUUGAACCACUUUUGGUAGGUACUAACCACUGCAUACUUGGAACACCAGACAAGAUUUGCUGUUUUGAAGAUGCUCUGAACGCCAUUGCCAUGAAGGUGUGUAUGGUCUGCAACACCACCAGGUUGGUGUUAUGUGUCAAAGUAACAUCUACAUGAAUGCCAGUACCCAAGCUUUCCCAGCAGAGCAUUGCUCAGACCAUAAUACCACCUUCAAAGGCUUUCCUUCUUCCCAUAGUGCAUUCUGCUUCCAUCUCUUCCCCUAUUAAAUGAUGCAUGAGCACAGGUCUAUCCAAAUGAGUCACCAGACCAGGAAAGCUUCUUCCAUUACUCCAUUGAUUCUUCCAAUGCUAACGUCCCCAUUGAAUGCACUUUCAGUGGUGGACAUAGCUCAUCAUGGGCAAUCUGACAUGCGCAGCCUCAUAUGCAGCAAACUGUGAUGCACUGUGUGUUCUGACACCUUUCUAUCAUGGCCAGCUGUAGUUUUUCAGCAAUUUGAGGUAAAUAAGCUCUUCUGUGGGAUUGGACCAGACAGGCUAGCCUUUGCUCCCCACGUGCAUCAAUGAGCCUUGGGUGUUGAUGACCCUGAUGCCGGUUCACCGGUUGUCCGUCAUUGCAGCACUUUUGAGAGGAACUAGCCACUGUAUACCCAGAACUCCUCAGAUGACUUGCCAACUUGAAGAUACUCUGAUCAAGUUAUUUAUUUAUCACUAUUUGGCCUUUGUUCAAGUCACUCAUAUCCUUUCGCUUGUCCAUUUUACCUGCUUCCAUCACAUGAAUUUCAAGAACUGAAUGUUCCCACCCCACCCCUUGACAGGUAUCAUUGUAACAAUAUAAUCAAUGUUAUUCACUUCACCUGUAAGAGAUUUUAAUGUUGUGGAUUAUCAGAAGUGUAACUAGAAACCAAGGGGCCCCAGUGCAAAAGAUUGCCCUGGGCCCUCCCCCAUACAUCUCACCCCCCACCCCUUAGCUCCUCCAUGAGUCUCAUUCACGCCCCACAGGGUUAGUGUGGCAGGGUUGGGAGGUUGAGUAUGACAGAAUUGGAGCGGUUAAUGAGACAGGGAGAGUGUGGCAGGGUGAAAGGGGGUGAGUGUGGCAGGGUGAAAGGGGGCGAGUUUGACAAAGUGAUGGAGAAAGAGUGUGACAGGAUUAGGGGGUAAGUAUGACAGUGCGAGAGAAUGUGAGGGUAAUAGGGUGAAUUUGGCAGUGCAAUGGGAGGUUAGUAUGGCAUGGGUGAGUGACAGGAUUGGUGGAGUUAUUGUGAGUGUGGCAGGGUGAAGGGGGUGACAGUGUGUGUGUUGAGGUGACAGUUACACAGACACACCCGUGCAUACACUGACACACAUGCAGAUAUACAAACACACAUUGACACACAUGCAGAUACACACCAUAAAACACAUACAGAUUGAUACACAGACACACAUGCUGAUACACAGACACACAAAGAUACAUAUAUACACGCAAACAUGCAUAUACACAAAAACUUAAGGAAAAACAUUGAAAUACACAUAAUAAAACUCAUACAGAUACACAGGGCACACACUGACAUGCAGAUACGCAGACAUACAGAUACACAUGCAGACAAAUAGAUACACAAACACACAAACACAAACACAUACAUACAGAGACAUACAUAGAGAGACACACAUACAUUAGUCACCCUCCUGUUUCCUGCCUUUUAGAUGCUGGAGGAUGACUUCCCUGGUAAAAUUUUGCCAUCCGGUGGCCUUAACAUCUUGGACCACCCGAUGGGCCCCUGAACGUGCGGUUCUACUGCGCGCGCCAGGGCCGCAACACAUGGCGGUGGGAAACCGAUUACAGUGGUUCACAGGGCGGCUGGGCUCCCUGGAGUGGCGGGCCCGGUUGCAGCUGCGACCCCUGCGACUGUGGUAGUUCCGCCACUGUGGAUGAUCAGUGUAUUAUAGACUAGUGCCUCCAAAUCCCAAAGUCCCUGAUUGUGAUCAAGAACAGACAUUUUUCUCCCUAUACCCCUCUUCUCCUGUUGUGCUUUGUAUCAGCACACAUUGAUAUGUAGUUGGCUACAUGUGCCUGGGAUUAAGGACUGUAGUGUGUGUUUGGGGUGAAAUGAACAGUUGUGUUUCUGUUAUGGUUAGUUUAUCCCCCUCCCUUGGGCCAGGAAGAAGGAAUACUAAUUAGCAUGCCCUAUCAAUUUUGGCACACCCAUCCUUUGCAUGAGGUAUGACAUUGCAAAAUGUGGGCCAAAAGCACUGGAUUUGUAUAAUUCUCCAACUCUGAUGUUUUUUCCUAACUUUUGCAGUGUUGUUUACAGUUAGACUCAGUCACAUAUGUAUUCUCAGUCACGCGUUUAAUUAGCUGUCACUUUCAUACAUGCCCUUUCACACACAGAAACAUUUGAAUGUUACUAAAAAUGUGUGCAUGUGAUUGCACACAAUUUAAAACACUAUCUAUAAUUAUGGGUGUAUAUCAGUCUCACCCAAACACUAGUCGAGACUUAGUAUAUGUAUAUAUGUAGUCACAUAUUGUAGCAGUAUACCCACAAGUUGGUUCAUUGUUGCCAUUAUUCCAUUGUGUAGAAAAAUAAUAAAGUAUUUAAGCAAGAGAGGUGCAUUCAGAUUACUCUGGCUUUCAAGUAUAUCCUGGGAUGUUACCUACUAUUACCCAAUUUAAUGGUACUCAUAUUAUGUACCUCGUAGGGAUAGGUAGAUAGGUUAGGUUCUCUUGCAAGUGUACAUUAGUCUCACCCAAACACUAGUCGAGACUUAGUGAAAGGCGAAUAAGAAGUCUUAUUAAGGCAAAUUGUUUCAACAGAAGGUCCCCGGGAAGAAUAGAUUGCGACAUACCUGGCACCUUUGUAUGUGAGCUGGUAAUUUAAUUAUCUACAGGACACGUUGGCACCGGGUUAAGAAAAAAUGAUAAAACAAAGCUUCCAUGCCCAGAUUCCCACAACACUGUCAUAUCUGGAAAGGUCUCUCUGGAGCACCCAUUCUGCCCAAAAACCGAUUGGAUAUGGCUAGCCCAAAUUAGAUGGAAGUCCAAAGUUUAGCGGGACACGGAUAGUCACCAAUCCAGCACAGAGUUCCAGAGUGUUUGGUAGUGAAAGUAAAUUUACUUUUACCAGAUGAGUUAGCUGACGCCCAGGUACCCCAUGAAUGUGCAGCACUAAUGGCACAAGAGACAGCUGGUUUUUCGCAUGUAAUUGAUUCUCUAUUAUCUAAUUUUUUGUAGAUGGUUCCAGAUAUGGUGAUGAGAAGGGUAAUUUCCACACUGGAUAUGCUGUAGUAUCUACACAUGAGUUAAUAAAAGCUGAACCACUCGCUCCUCACUGCUCUGCACAGGAGGCUGAGCUGAAGGCACUCACUGAAGCGUGCAAACUGGCCUCUGGUAAGACAGCUAAUAUU
RNAcentral lists this long non-coding RNA (11517 nucleotides) under Pelobates cultripes (western spadefoot toad). Lineage: Eukaryota; Metazoa; Chordata; Amphibia; Anura; Pelobatidae. The record is from RNAcentral.